Long non-coding RNA from Motacilla alba alba, 7182 nucleotides. RefSeq lists it as uncharacterized. Lineage: Eukaryota; Metazoa; Chordata; Aves; Passeriformes; Motacillidae. The transcript has 4 exons. The record is from RefSeq and is a predicted model, not a curated record.
ACGGUGCCAAAGGCUUAUGUCCAAAAAGGAGACAGAGGAGUAAGCUCUGUAGCUUUAUUUGAAUAAAGGGAGAGGCCAUGGAGCAUUUCCUCUGGGGUCUCUAAGAUUGCUAGAGGAUGCAGCCUUCUUUCUAUUCUAAUUUCCCAGACCCAUUUUCCCCUCUCUGUCUCCAGUAGCUGAAGUGCUUGAGAGGUACAGACUUCCCAAAGCACCUAAUACAGAGCCUCUUCUAAUGUGCAUCCUGGUUUUCUUUCUGUAAGUCCAAGAAUUUAGCAUGGCCUUGUGUAAACUGCAGUCUGUGUCAAUUAGUGGAAUUCCUCUGGAAUAUUUGGUUCCUCUCAUUGCUUCUUUCCCCUAUCACUAUCUGGCUUAAUCUGCCAGCAGGUGCACAGUUUGUUUGUAAAGACAUCUCCUUCUCAUUGCUUUCAUUAGGAAAAAUUUAUUGGAUUGUGGUGAGGCAUUGGAAUAGGGAAGGAGAGGCAUUGUGGUUGCCCCAUCCUGGCAGUGUCCAAGGCCAGGUUGGGUGGGGCUUGGAGCAGCCUGGGAUUGUGGAAGGUGUCCCUGCCCAUGGCAGGGGGUUGGAACAAGAUGUUCCUCAAGGUCUCCUUCUAAGCCAAACCAUUCUAUAAUGCUAUGAUUGUAGAACAUGCUUGUGGAACAGAACAUCCCAGUCCCAUCUGAGCUGGGAUAAAGGAGGAGGAAAGAGGCUGCCUGCCACAGAACGGUGCCUGGCCCUACUCUGAGAAUUUAGUCUCACAGUAUUUUUGCAUGCUUGUCAUCCAGGCCAUCUGGUUAACGGGAAUCUGGUUCUUGCAUGCGCUGGGUUAAGAUACGAUGGUGUCCGCGGUUGCCAGGCAGGAUCUGAUGGAGUCAGCCUGUUCCUCUCCCGGGGACCGGAACAUCUCUCUUAGGAGGACAGGCUGAGGGAAUCGGGCCUGCUCAGCCUAGAGAAGAGACCUCAUCCCUGGCUGUCAGUGUCCAAAGGGAGGCGUCAGAGCAUGGACCGGGCUCUCAGCAGUGGAACGAGAGGAACAGGCAGGAACUGAUGCCCAGGAAGUUCCACCAGGACAUGAGGGAAAACUUUCCUGUGCACUGACCAAGCACUGAACAGGCUGCCCACAGAGGGUGUGGGGUCUCCCUCACUGGGGACAUUCCACAUCAAUCCUGGACACAAUCCUGGACCGUGUGGUCUUGGCCCUGUUUGAACAGGGAGGUGGGGCCACUCUGUUCCCUUCCAACCUGACCCAUUCUGUGAUUCCCUCUUCACUGCAGUGAGCUGGGCUCUUAAAUACUAGAUGUCAUUGCUUUUCCCCCAUCCCUUUUAUCAGCAUUGAUUCACUAUUUCAUUACCUGUAUCAGGAUCUUUUAUCUAUUUUUUCUCUUCAGGUUACUAGGAUCUCCAUGCUUUUAAAAAUCAAGAUAAAAGCCAUACUUUUACCCCCAAAAAUCCUCAUUAUGUGUCAAAAGCAGGCAUCAGAAAUCAACCACAGCAGUGGUGCACUUGCGUUCUGGUUUGAAGCCCUUGGCAGAUUUCUGCCAUACAGCAGAACCCAAAAUGACUGCAAGCCCCUUCAUUGUGUCCUCAGCCUCAUGUUUGCACAGCUUUUGACAUACUAAGAGAUAGACCAAGGGGCACCACAAAUGGUUUCAGCUGCAGAGGAGCUGUUGCUACCAAAACAAUGAUUCAUUCUGGCUUUCAGCCUGUCCUUUAGUACAUCUUGGGAAAAUCCUCAUCAGAAGCAGGCUUAGUCUGGAGAAACUGUCCAGAGACACCUGAUGCAAUUAUCUGAAAUAGGUAUUACCUUCACAGGAAACCCUGACAGAUAUUUUUAUUCCAAGGUGAAACACUUUAUGUUGUUCCACAGAAAAAAGGUUGUUUCUCUACAUUUUAUUCCAUGCUAGAGAAUCCCAGAGAAAACAUGAUGAUUAGGCAAUCGUUUGUGACAAAAUUAGUUUCAUGAUUUCAUCUAGUUGAACCUUUUUUUUUUCCCUUUGAAUCUUGAAAUUUUUUACAGUGGCAGGACAAAUAACCAUUCCAAACUUGAUGCCUGAAGUAAUACUGAUCUGUUUGUCUAAGUUUGCAAAGCACCUAAAAAUACUCCAAAGGUUUUCCUUUAGUGUCAAUGCAUUGCUUGGAUAUGGGUGAGGAUGGUUUAAUUUAAUGUUAGAUCAAAGCAAAGAGGAAAGAGGAAAAAGGAAGAAAUGUCACGUGUUCUCCAGAACAUGUGCUGGGAGUGGGCCACAGAGAAGAAAGGGGAUGGAGAAUGUAACAAAGCAAGUUUGUAAUCACAUCCCAGUUUAGGAGGGUAUGAGAUUCCUGUUGUUUCCCCCUCAAAGGUUGGAAAAUCCUGUGCUGCAGUGAUGAAGAGCUGCUUUGCUUAUCCCUGGCUCUGAUAUCUCAGGCUCCAGAGAACUUCCAUCUCUCCCUAGGUACUGUAAUACCCUCGUAUGUGUGCUCUUACAGGGUCACAGCAAUCACAGCAGCUGUUCUGGAAGAGUCUGCCACUUCUGCUUCAUAUUACAGCGAUCAUUUGAACCUUCCCUUCUUGACAACAACAGUUUUAUAACUUCUGAGCUCCUCAGAUUGUACUCAGGAUUGCCAGGAGAAUCCUGAUACUCCCAUCAUGCCUCAGAGGUGACGAAAGGAAAUCCUGAGUCCAAAGCUGAGAACGGGGUCUCAUGAAAACAAGAAAUUAUGCAAUCUACUGAAGAGAUUUUCUUCAGAAAGAUCACAGGUCUCGUGCUUUAGUCAUGGCCUCUGCCAGCAGGUUCACUGCAAGCUAAGUGAUUUCUUUCACGUAAGCUGCUCACGACGACUACAGAAACCUCCAGGAUUACAGUGCACAAACAAUGGGAGAAAAGCUGCUUCAAAUAAUACACCCAGACAAUGGAGUUGCCAUUAUGGUAGCAAUGCAAAAUAUAGACAGGGAUUUAAAUGAAACGGGUGGUAUCUGUAUACUUUGGAGGGCUCACGUGUGCCAAAUUUGGCAGCAUGAGUCUUCAUACUGCUUGUUGCUCCACCCCUUGAACAAUGAGGCUAAACCCCAUAUGUGCAGGAGUUGGUAGAGCACAAGCAGUUUUGCUAAUCAUGCUGCAUGCAAAAGCAAAAAGACAAAGGAAACUAGUAAUGCUUAGACUAGCAUUGGGGAAAUAAUUAAGCAUGAAUGAAAUAUUAUAUGUGGAUUUGAAAUGAAUGUUCUCGGAAACAAUUGUGCUGUUUCAGUUGUGCUGCUUCCCCCCCUAAGUUUCACAAAGUAAUUUGCAUGUCAUUUAAAUAAAUACCAUAAAUUAUUGCAAACUUUUUGUUUUUAUUUACAUAAAACAAAAUACUAAUUUCCAUUAUUGUUUGGAUUACCUGACAAGAGUGAAAUGCAGAGGUCUGAGAGGAAACCUGUCUCUCCCUAAAGUAUUACAGAUUUCUCAUGCAUGAGAGAACCAGAAAGCAGGACCCCAUAUUCAGCUUUGCCUGACAUAGACAAGGAAUGCUCUGUACAUGAAACAGAGAUAUGGGAUCAGAUCUUCCAGCUGAGCCAAGCUGGAGCUCAUACUCCUUUCACUUUCUUUCAGUGUCAUCCACACGUCACCUAUUUGAUUUCACCUCUGAUAAAUAUUUGCCUUCCUUCUUGACUACUUACUUACACUUCUUUGUCAGAUUCCUUCUCAAAACCUGCUUUCUCCUCUCACCCCAUCACAGGGUCAACAGCAGCCAAUUCAGAACCCUUGACAGUCUCUGUGUUUAGACAAAUCAGAGGAAAAUAAAUGACUGAAAUACAGAAAUCCAGGAAAAAUGGAGUGGACGAUAACCUAAAAAGCUAGGAAGGUGCACACAACUCUGCAGCAUGAUAUGGAGCCUGAUGGCCACUCAAAACUAAAUACAGGUACCACCACCUGAAAAACCAAGUGACCUAACAUCCUGCAAAAGGAGGAAUUUAAUACAUAGUAUAAUUUUUAAUGUUCUGGCUAUAAGAGACUAAAUGAUCAUUCGCGCUUCUGACCUAUGAAAUCUGCCUGCAGGUUUCCUCCACAAUGCUUUUAUUUAUAUCUAGUUGCUCUCUCCAGUCUGAAAGGGAACCCAAGAGAUAUUUCUCACUCUUCUCACAUAACCUUGGGCUGCUUUUCCCCAUGUUGUUAAACAUGUCAGACAUUAUAGAUUGCAAGCCAGAUGAACUCAUUAUACAGAUGUUCUUUGCACAGAGGACUAGCCUGUAGUAUCAGUUUCUAAGGCUGUUUUUUGCUUUAUAAACCCUCUUCUUAUUUUGGAUACAAAGGCAUUUAGGCAUUUACUUUCCUGGAUUUGCUUAUUGGAGCCCUAAGAUGUGCUUCACCACAAAGGAAAUAAAAUUGACUGGGUGUAACUUCAUGAUUUCCAGAUAUCACUAGGGUGUGCUGUAGAUCAUGAAAUUUCAGUAAAGCACCAUUAGCAGGGAAAAAUCUAGCUGCUAUAAUAAAUAUUUUAAAUUAAUUACAAACACAGAAGCAGCUCUCAACUGACUUGAAUUCCUCUUAAAACAACAUACACACUCAAGAGAGGUAAUGUAACAUCUAAACAAUUUAAAACAUUUUUGUACACAGGCUUGGUCAGCACUCCAGCAGAAAAGUAGAGUCAGGCAGAUAAUCACACACCUAAACUGCAUGUAAGUAACUAAAAUUCAAGCAUGCAGUCUAGUGGGAAUUGAAAAAAUGAGACUGGAACCAAUAUCCAUAACAAACCAGGUAACAAGCAAUAACACUCUGGAAAACUUUCUUUAAAAAAAAAAAAAAGGAAGAAAAAAGUCUGUAUAAGUCACUAAAACUCACAAAGGUAGUAGAGAGUGAGGGGAGGAAUUGUAGGUAUUUACACAAAUUACUUUAUAUAAACAAUGGUGCUGAGAUUUCCAGUGAGGAUAACAGUAGGACUGAACCAAACCCAUCACAGGAGACUGCACCUCUUGGGUGUCAGCUCUUAGUAACUGAGGAGGAGGCUGCAGCUUUGGGAGGAAGGAAAGCAUCAGCUCCCAGCUCCGGGCUUCCAGCCCCUGCAGGAGCUGGGCACCCUUGUUACAAACACACCCAGCAGCUGCUCAGCACCUGGGACAAAGCACCUUCCUACUCUUGCACCUCUUAGCCUAGGAGAGAAACACCCUGGCACCCCAUCCUUCAGCACCCACCAGCUCCCAGUGCAGGCAUGGAGGGGUGGUGGGAUCCUGAACCCAGCACAGUGAGGAUGCUGAAUCAGAAGAGUUUUUAAGCACAGCUAACUUCAAGCACAUAUUUACACCAAAACACACAGACUCAAAUGCACAUUUAAAAAGAAGCACCUAUUAAAACAAUAACAAAAACUUUACGGGUUUACUGCUGAGACCUCAGCUGUCAAGAUAUAUCCAGAAUGCCAUGGUUGGUGGUAACAGCAAACAAUUAUCAAGGGAUGCUCCCAAGCUCCAUGAACUGAGUUUGGUAGUCUUACACCAUGAACCACAUAUUCAUUAUUAUAACAAAUUGUAUUGCUAUUUGUAGCAUCUAGGGAACCCCAAUCAGGGCUCUAUUGUGUGACAGACUGUACAAGCACAGAAAAAUAGGAUGGCUUUUAUAAUGAGUACAUCACAAGCCCCACUACCAUAAUUAACAUUGAUUAGCAUCGAUGCAAACAGCAUGGGAAGACAAAGAUUGAGCCAGUUUGGAGGCUGAGGUACUCUCUCACCCCUUAAGGUGCUCCUUUGGUUCCCAACUGCAGAACAGAGGGGAGGCUGUUUCAGUGGGGAAGGCUGCAGUCCCCAGCACUCCCAGGAGCACAUUCUAGGACAGGGCAUAUAAAGAGGCAUCUUUGUCACUUACAAAUCCAUUUUCUAUCACAGGAAAAACCACAUGGCAGCACCACCAUCAAUUCUGGGAAAAAAAGGAUGGUUGGCAACAUCUGAUCUACUCCAUGUACUAGAAAAGACCCCCAAAAGCCAAGUUCACUUAAAAUGAAAUCUCAAAAGAGUGGCCUUAAUGGACAUGGGAUGUGUGGCUGCAUGUAAUAAACUUCCUGCAAAAACCAGCCCUUGCUAGAUCUGUAACUAUCACAUGCAUCUCCUCAUCCCAGGUCCAUGGCAUUUUCCCAGACUUGCCUUGGAUACUAAUGCAGUUUUUCUUUUUUAACUGUAGGAAAGAGUUGACAGAUCUGUAAUGUCAGCAAAAAUUGAUAGUGUGAAAUCAUAGGGUUGAAUAUGUUGAUUGUGUUAAUGAAAUUAUCUUCACUAACGAAACAAGAUUCCAGACCCAGAACCUUCCUAUGAACUCUUCUCUCUCCCAAAAUGUUUCUACACUUCUUUUACUGCAUAACCUAACAAAAUCCAGACACCUGGAAUUCUACUCCCACAUUCAGCACCAUGGAAAACAUAUCCACAGAAAAUAUAUUCCCACUAGAAAUUUUCUUCAGUUCCCCAUGCCAUAACCUAACCUGCAGUCUGCUGUCUCUUCAGACUUACUGCUUGUUUCAAGAAUUCUCAUGUGCAAUAAACUGAGUAUGUAUGUAAAUAUUUGCAGGACUAAACUGUAGCCACAAUUUCAAAUGCAAUCAGGAUAUGUUGUGCUCAGUUGUAGUUAGGGUCCAGUGUUUUGCUAUUUUUUGCUGUUCUGGUGAAGUUUCUUAAUUUGUUUUUCUUCUAAGCUACUUCCUACAAUUUCACUCAGAGGGAAAUGAAACAUAAUUCUAUAAAGCCUAAAAAUAAACCCAGAUCUGCUAAAAAAUUCAUCAUUUCACUCCCAGGCUUCCACCAGCUGGGCUUGUCUGCUUUAGGUUUGACACCCCUGAGAGCUACAAGCAUGACUUACAAAGAUGAGCAAGUUUACAUGAGAAUGAUGAAAAUAUCCAUUUUUUUAAUCUUUGCUUUGCCAAAAUACCAUCCGGGGCAUUUAUUACUUGAAGACAUUUAUUUUUGGCAAUUUCUCACUCCCUUUUCAUACUGUACUUACAUUAUUUGCAAAUUUGGAGAGGUAAUACCCAAAUCCAUAUUCUGCUUUACGUGUGCUUCUUUCAGGCUUGCUCAUUACAUUCGUUAAACUAUUUAAUUCUCAAGGAUCUACUAGAGAUACAGUGAAGACCCCCUGAACACCAGUUAAGAAUAAACCUGUAAUGAGAAUAAAUUACACAUGCAUAUCAAUUGAUACAAGUCCUGCACGGAGUGAGACCUUUCUACAUAAACAUCUGCUGCAAAAUUAAAU